CUUAAAGUCCCAAUUAGAUUGGGACUCUCUCACCUUUCUCACACCAAAAAAGGAGGGGUGCAAGAGAGCGCGCCUCCUCUUUGUGCAUGCAUAAAAAUGAAAGGAGAGAAGAGGAACGCAUCCAAGGGUUGGGUGCACAUACUGGUGUUGGGAAAUAUAUCCCAAAAGCCAAUCGUCAAGUUGUUGAUGAUUGAGCAACCAAG
Molecule: long non-coding RNA, 203 nt
Filed under: Elaeis guineensis (African oil palm)
Lineage: Eukaryota; Viridiplantae; Streptophyta; Magnoliopsida; Arecales; Arecaceae
Description: long non-coding RNA (EGUI_LNC057978)
Source: RNAcentral